UCUCUGUGCGUAUGUGCACAUUUAACAGCUUAAUAAUGAAGCAUUUUCUGACUUGCUUAUUACUAUUAUGGGUACCAAUCUGUGCCCAGUCUCAGAUCACUUUGGUCCAGUCUGGGAAUGGGCUUCUAAAACCAGCUGAGACUCUGGAACUCACCUGUAAAGUUAAUGGAUAUGUUAUCACAUCUGGCUACUGGUGGAGCUGGAUAAGACAGUCCAGUGGGAAAGGAUUGGAAUGGCUGGGACUUAUUAAAUCUGGUGGGGAAGUUGUGUACUCCUCAGCAAUUCAGAGCAGAAUUACUAUCACUAGAGACACUUCCAAAAAUCAGUAUUCUCUGAACCUGAAGAACAUGAAUCUAGAAGACUCAGCCACAUAUUACUGUGCUAGAGACACAGUGAGAGAAACAGUGGAGAAUGUGGUUAUAAACAUGAGCAAUGCUUUACUGUGA
This is a non-coding RNA of Bombina bombina (fire-bellied toad), 446 nucleotides long. NCBI's taxonomy places the organism in Eukaryota, Metazoa, Chordata, Amphibia, Anura, Bombinatoridae. The record is from the annotation of a RefSeq genome assembly.